CUGGAGGCCUGUCACUGGUGGUGUUCCCCAAGGUUCAAUACUGGGUCCAGUACGGUUAAAUGUACUCAGCAAUGACUUAGAUGAAGGGACAGAGGCCUCCUCAGCAAGUUUGCUGUAAACAAAAAGCUGGGCAGAGUGGUCAACACCCUAGAGGUCUGUGCAGUCCCUCAGAAGGACCUUGACAAGUUGGAGGGGUGGGAGGAGAAGAACCAUUUGAAAAUCAACAAAGGUGAGUGCAGGAUCCUGCACCUGGGGAGGAACAACCCCAAGGACCAGGACACCUUGGGGACUGGUGUGCUGGGAAGCAGCUCUGUGGAGAAGAACCUGGGGGUCCUAGUGGGCAACAAGCUGUCCAUGAUCCAGCAGUGUGUCCUUGUGGCCAAGAGGGCCAAGAGUAUCCUGGGGAUAUGAGGAAGAACAUUGCCAACGGGUCAAGUGAGUUGAUCCUGCCCCUCUACUCUGCCCCAGUGAGGUGCAUCUGGAAUGUUGUGUCCAGUUCUGGACUACUCAGGACACGAGAGACAUGGAGCUCCUGAAGCAGGUCCAGCAGAGGGUGACAACGAUGAUUAGGACUGAAGUGUCUCUCUUACAAGGACGGACGGAGGUAGCUGGGACUGUUCAGCCUCAAGAAGAGACAACUGAGAGGGGACCUUAUCAGUGCCUCUAAGUAUCUGAAGGUCCAGCAACAUCAAUUAACUGUGGCUCUGCUGGGUUUUGGGGCCUCGGUGAAAAGAAUUUGGGCAGGUGCACAUCUCGUUGUCCUUUUCCUUGGUGCAAUUCGAAGCUCAAUGGUGUGGUGCGUAUUUCUCAGGAAUCUCAUGGGUUGAAGUCAAAUCAACUUUGUUGCCAAUGUUGUGGGUAAAAGUACAUCUUUAAGGAAAUAUGUGAAUGAGAGAAAUAAAGAAAGAUAAUUUCUCAAUUUUACUAACAACUCUGAUUUUCUCUUUACCGUAGAUAAAACAAUCUGCCCAGGAUUCUUCUUUCCUCCUCAUCAUUUCUGUUUUCCUCUUGAUUGAGUAGGUCAGUAAUGUAAACUGAUAAACUGCUCAGAAACAUGAUGUGGACAUGAGGACUUUCAUCAAGCUUAUCAUUUCAGAAUGGCCUCAGGGCCAGAAUAUUCAACACAGGAAAGACAAAGAGGUUUCGCAAAAUAAAUCCCUCUUGUGGUAUGCCCAGACUUGCAUUAACUGGAAUGAGUAGUUCCAAUUUGAACAACUGCUUGAUGCUGGCCAACUGCUCGAUGCUGCUGUAACAUUUUUUUUUCAGAAUAAACCUGUGUGGAACACAUAUGGAGAUUCCCCUCUCUUUACUUCUUUGCCUUCGCCUGCGUGCCUGCUUAACAGCGACAGGAAGAUCCAGCCCCUUUUGGAUGAGGAGCUCUACCCCAUUUUCAUUGUGUGUUGGGCACUGAGUGCCGCCUUCCAGACGGGUUUCAGUGUUGACCUCCGGGCUUCUUUGUGUCGGCACGCAAGGGGUAAAACCCCCUUCUGCCAGCUCCCAGUGGCUGGAAACCCCUCCAUGGUAGCAUUAAAAGUUUCUUUAAACCAAGAUUAAAAAUUUUAGUAGUAUUUCACCAUAUAUGAGAUAGAAAGAUAUGGCAGCUCUGUCUCCUGCAUAAAGUAUCUUAUUUAAUUGGUUUUGAAUUUUCUUUUAUGAUGUUUCCUUUUGUUUCUCUUAGUAGGGCACUAAAUAUUCUCAAAUUGAAAUCUGAUCAUUUUUCAUUUUGCUGUUUGCAGUUUUGUUGGUUUUCAAGUAUCCUGUAGCUAUCCAGCUUUUCCAAACUGAAUAACUAUGACAUUUUCCCAGUUUUCAAUAGAUGUAUGUUCCAUCAUGCUUCUCUCUAUUUCCAUUUUGUGGAUCUCUUCAAUUCUGUUCUAUUGUACUUCUGAUGAGGGAAAAACAUAGGAAUACUUCAUAUGAGGGCAUCCUAUUGUGCAGCACAAAGAAGCCUCAGCUCUUCCAAAUAUUUUUAUAGGCUGUUAUUAUUUUGUAUUAAUUGUGCUUCAUUUAGUAGUCACAGAAAAUAAGACUUUCUCAAAGAAAUUUUGGUUGACGUCAAUUGGGAAAGUAUAAAUCUGUUAGCAGUUAGGUGAAGAUCCUGGAGAGUAAGAAUAUGAGCAAUUAUUCCUCUGAAUUUUUCAUUGAAAAUGUAACUUUUCUAGCAUAACUAAGUAUAGUUGGACAGUGAGUUGGGUUUUUUGGUUGGCUGGCUUUUUAAGGAAAGGAUAUAUACCUAAUUUACUGUUUGUGGGUCAACCUGAUCUGCCAUAAUUAACAUUGCAGUGGAAAAUCAUUUUAGGCAACCAUAGGGAAUGGAUCUAGUUCUCCCUGUGCCAUUUGGAAUCAUACAUUAUCAUUGCAUAAUUAUUCACAGCAAUAAAAAAAUCAUUACUAUAUAAAACUUUA
Long non-coding RNA from Corvus hawaiiensis (hawaiian crow), 2406 nucleotides. RefSeq lists it as uncharacterized. NCBI's taxonomy places the organism in Eukaryota, Metazoa, Chordata, Aves, Passeriformes, Corvidae. The transcript is spliced from 4 exons. The record is from RefSeq and is a predicted model, not a curated record.